UAUAUAUUUUUUUAAUUGUUUCCAUUCUUCAAAAUUGUUGAAUCAUAACCUUUUCCACCUUUUCACAUAUUCCUAAUAAUCUUUUAGGCACAAUUAUUCAAAAUUUUUCGAAAAAAAAAUUUCUUCGUCUUUUUUUUUUGAGUUUCUGGAAUUCACUCUGAAUUAUCAUGUCGGGAAAUAUUAACGGAGGUGCAUUUAACUUUACGGAAGACCAUACCAUAUUUUCUAGGGCCAUAUAAACAUCAUCAUCAAGGAAUAAAGGAGAAAGCUGA
Coccinella septempunctata (seven-spotted ladybird) is the source of this 272-nucleotide long non-coding RNA. RefSeq lists it as uncharacterized. NCBI's taxonomy places the organism in Eukaryota, Metazoa, Arthropoda, Insecta, Coleoptera, Coccinellidae. The transcript has 2 exons. The record is from RefSeq and is a predicted model, not a curated record.